This 84-nucleotide transfer RNA is filed under the name Candidatus Delongbacteria bacterium. Its description in RNAcentral is "tRNA-Leu". It matches the Rfam family "tRNA". From Rfam's summary of the family: Transfer RNA (tRNA) molecules are approximately 80 nucleotides in length. Their secondary structure includes four short double-helical elements and three loops (D, anti-codon, and T loops). Further hydrogen bonds mediate the characteristic L-shaped molecular structure. tRNAs have two regions of fundamental functional importance: the anti-codon, which is responsible for specific mRNA codon recognition, and the 3' end, to which the tRNAs corresponding amino acid is attached (by aminoacyl-tRNA synthetases). tRNAs cope with the degeneracy of the genetic code in two manners: having more than one tRNA (with a specific anti-codon) for a particular amino acid; and 'wobble' base-pairing, i.e. permitting non-standard base-pairing at the 3rd anti-codon position. Lineage: Bacteria; Candidatus Delongiibacteriota. RNAcentral also lists the same sequence under 1 other name. The record is from RNAcentral.
GCCUUGGUGGUGAAAUUGGUAGACGCACUGGACUCAAAAUCCAGCGGGGGCAACUCUGUGCCGGUUCGAUUCCGGCCCAAGGCA